ACUCAAAGGAAUUGACGGGGACCCGCACAAGCAGCGGAGCAUGUGGUUUAAUUCGAAGCUACGCGAAAAACCUUACCAGGUCUUGACAUCCCUUGCAUAGCCAUGAAAGUGGUAAAUUCAGAGCAAUCUGACAAGGUGACAGGUGUUGCAUGGUUGUCGUCAGCUCGUGUCGUGAGAUGUUCGGUUAAGUCCGAUAACGAGCGCAACCCUUGUCGUUAGUUGCCAGCAUUAAGUUGGGCACUCUAGCGAGACUGCCGUAGAUAAUACGGAGGAAGGUGGGGAUGAUGUCAAAUCAUCAUGGCCCUUACGACCUGGGCUACACACGUGCUACAAUGGUCAUCACAAAGAGUUCCGAGCCGGCAACGGUGGGGCAAUCUCAAAAAAAUGAUCUCAAUUCGGAUUGUGGGCUGCAACUCGCCCACAUGAAGUCGGAGUUGCUAGUAAUCCCAAAUCAGCAUGUUGGGGUGAAUGCGUUCCCGGGUCUUGUACACACCGCCCGU
This 500-nucleotide ribosomal RNA is filed under the name uncultured bacterium. Its description in RNAcentral is "bacterial SSU rRNA". It matches the Rfam family "Bacterial small subunit ribosomal RNA", at positions 899 to 1397 of the family's 1533-position model. The record is from RNAcentral.